This 360-nucleotide transfer RNA is filed under the name uncultured Microcystis sp. RNAcentral's name for it is "partial 16S-23S ribosomal RNA intergenic spacer". The stretch from base 134 to 207 matches the Rfam family "tRNA". Lineage: Bacteria; Bacillati; Cyanobacteriota; Cyanophyceae; Chroococcales; Microcystaceae. The record is from RNAcentral.
AAAGGGAGACCUAAUUCCGGUAGGAGACGAAAAAAAAGUAGUCCCUACCAAGAAUCAAUCCCAAAAGGUCGGAACGAGGUAUGAGGCUUUCAAACUAGGUUCUGGGUUCAUAAAAGACCUGAAUCAGGAACAAGGGCUAUUAGCUCAGGUGGUUAGAGCGCACCCCUGAUAAGGGUGAGGUCCCUGGUUCGAGUCCAGGAUGGCCCACCUGCACAGGUGGCAAAAACAAAAGAAGCGAGGAAUCAGCACCUUAUCUUAUAUACAUAUAUAAGAGAGAAUGCUGGCUCUGAGUACAGAGUCCAGAGGAACCUUGAAAACUGCAUAGAGCUAGGUGAAAAAGCCAAAAAAGAAGACCGCAAG